Non-coding RNA from Chelonoidis abingdonii (Abingdon island giant tortoise), 103 nucleotides. Lineage: Eukaryota; Metazoa; Chordata; Testudines; Testudinidae. The record is from RefSeq and is a predicted model, not a curated record.
UCUCAGGGGAUUGUUUCUCCCACUGAGGUUGGUCUAAUAAAAUAUUUUACCUCAUCCAUCUUAUCUCUCUAAUGUUCUGGGACCAACACGGCCACAACACUGC